UUCCCCUUCUUCCCUCAGCGUCCGAGAGACCAGAGCUGACGCCGGCACUGGCCUGAGAAGCCCGAGCGGGGCAGCACCGCCCCUCACGCCGCCACCGCCGCCGCCUCCUCCUCCCCUUCGCCCUCCCACUCCCACCCCCAGCCAAGGCCUGCUGACCGCGCCGAGCGCCGAGCUGGACUGACCACGGCGGCCCCGGAGACGGGAGGAGGAAGCAGGCGGCCCGCCCCUGGGAUCGCGCUCGCGCCCGCGCCGCCGCUGAGGGGAUUGAAUUGAGGCGCGGCGGCUGCGGGAGGCGAAAAGGAAGGAGGAGCCGCCGCGCGAGUGCGACGGGGGCAGAGCCGUAGAGAUCGACUCAGAAGGAAACGGGGAGGAGGAUGUCUCACAGAGCGGCCAGCGUCCGGAUCAGCCAGUGACUCUUAACAGCGGCGGGCCUCAGACCCCAGCGCGGACUCGGACUUUGUCUUUGGGAGCCCCUGCUCUGCCUUUCCUGGUUUCCGGCAAGAUCGCAGAGGAGCCGGCGUGCCUCUCUGCCCUCCAGCCUUCCUCACCAUGUCCAAGAUGCCGGCCAAGAAGAAGAGCUGCUUCCAGAUCACUAGUGUCACCACGGCCCAGGUGGCCACUAGCAUCACCGAGGACACUGAGAGCCUGGACGACCCGGACGAGUCACGUACAGAGGACGUCUCCUCCGAGAUAUUCGACGUUUCUCGGGCCACGGAUUAUGGCCCUGAGGAGGUCUGCGAGCGCAGCUCCUCCGAAGAGACGCUCAACAAUGUUGGGGAUGCAGAGACUCCGGGGACCGUCUCCCCAAACCUCCUCCUGGACGGGCAGCUGGCGGCCGCGGCGGCUGCUCCCGCCAACGGAGGAGGAGCCCUUUCGGCCCGGAGCGUGGCUGGGGCGCUGGCCAGUACCCCGGCGGCGGCCACCACCUCGGCCCCCUCUUCGGGGGCACCCGGCGCCCCCCCGGUCACGGGCUCGUCUGCCGGGCCAGGGACCGCAGCCCCACCACAGCCCCCCACGACUUGUAGUUCCCGUUUUCGUGUGAUCAAGCUGGACCACGGGAGCGGGGAGCCCUACCGCCGCGGCCGAUGGACGUGUAUGGAAUACUAUGAGCGGGAUUCAGAUAGCAGCGUCCUGACCAGGUCCGGGGAUUGCAUUAGGCACAGCAAUACUUUUGACCAGACUGCGGAGCGGGACAGUGGCCUGGGCGCCACCGGAGGGUCGGUGGUGGUGGUGGUGGCCUCCAUGCAGGGGGCGCACGGGCCCGACUCGGGAACUGACAGUUCCUUGACUGCUGUGUCACAGCUACCCCCGUCGGAGAAAAUGAGCCAGCCCGCCCCGGCCCAGCCGCAGAGUUUUGGCGUUGGGCAGCCACAGCCACCGCCGCCCGUAGGUGGGGCUGUGGUUCAAAGCGCGGCUCCAGUGCCGCCGUUCCCGGGAGCCGCGGCCGGGCCUCAGCAAAUGAUGGCAGCCCCGCAGCCAAGCCAGCCCCAGGGAACCGGCCCCGGCGUCCUCCCGCAGGGGCCCAAUGGACAGGGGCUGCCACUGACGAAUGUAACCCUGACGCAGCCCGGCGUGCCCCUGCCGCAGCAGCCGGGCCCCGCCGUCGGCGCUCCUACGACGCAGCCGCCCCAGCAGUUCGCGUACCCUCAGCUACCGCCUGGGCAUUUGCUGCCAGUCCAGCCCGCGGGUCAGGGUGAGUACCUACAGCAGCACGUGGCCAGCCUGCAGCCGCCAAGCCCCGCGCAGCCCUCGUCCGCCGGAGCGAGCCUCGCCACCGCUGCCAGCCUUCCAGUGGGCACCGGCCCGAAUGCCUCGGUGGGUGCGCAGAUAAUGGGCGUGUCUUCCUUGCCCAGUGAAGCUGUGGCCCCGGGGCCGGGACCCGCGCCAGGCGGGCAGGCCGCGCCUGGUCAGCCGGCCGGAGUGCCCUUGGCUGCUGUGGGAUGCGCCGUGCCGCCGGGCCUGGUCCCCCCUGGGACCGGGCAGCUCCAGUCCGUGCCUCCACCGCAGAUGGGUGGCAGUGGUGUGUCGUCAGCCGUGCCUGGCGGCCCCCACGCAGUACUGCCCGGAGUUCCAAACGUGCCUGCAGCCGUGCCCGCUCCAAGCGUGCCUAGUGUGUCUACCACCUCUGUUACUAUGCCAAAUGUACCCGCGCCUCUGGUCCAGUCGCAGCAGCUGAGCAGCCAUACGCCAGUCAGCAGGAGCAGCAGCAUAAUCCAGCAUGUUGGGCUGCCCUUAGCGCAAGGCACACCCAGUGCACCAACAAGUCUACCACAGUCUGACCUAAGCCAGUUUCAGACUCAGACCCAACCUUUAGUCGGGCAUGUUGACGAUACUAGAAGAAAAUCAGAACCCCUACCUCAACCACCACUUUCUCUCAUUGCUGAAAAUAAGCCUGUUGUGAAGCCUCCUGUUGCAGAUGCCCUGGCAAACCCCCUUCAGUUAACACCUAUGAACAGUCUCGCCACCUCUGUAUUCAGCAUAGCUAUUCCUGUUGAUGGUGAUGAAGACAGAAUUUUUUUUAGAAUUCAGCAUCGGAGGAGGAAUGUGACAUAAUAAUGAUCGAAAGCCGAAAGUUUAAAAGUUGUGAUGCCCUCACAUGGUUGGAGGGUUAUUCUAGCUUCUAAGGACUGAAUGUUGUCCACAAGAGUGUCUCAUCAGGUCAUAAAUUGUGCUUCUGGGGGAGGUGGUGUAGCCAUUGACAACAAAAUAGAACAAGCAAUGGAUCUGGUGAAAAGCCAUUUGAUGUAUGCAGUAAGAGAAGAAGUGGAAGUUCUAAAGGAACAAAUAAAAGAAUUAGUUGAAAGAAACUCUUUACUUGAACGAGAAAAUGCACUGUUAAAAUCUCUUUCAAACAAUGAUCAGUUAUCCCAACUCCCAGCCCAACAGGCCAAUCCUGGUAGCACUUCUCAACAGCAAGCAGUGAUAGCACAGCCUCCGCAGCCAACGCAACCUCCACAGCAGCCGAAUGUCUCCUCAGCAUAAAGCUUUCUUGCCUCAUUAAGAAAAAAAACUGAAAGCAAUCUAUCCUUGUGUGCCACUGGUAUUCUUUCCACUUUAUACGAAAGCAAGUAGCCAUGCUUCGGUUGUGUGUUUGGCCUUUUCAGUAUUAGACAAUCAUUCUGCAGGAGCUUUUCCUCCCUUUGAGAUGUCAUGCAGCAUUGUUGAUGUCCAGUUUCAUGUCAUCAGUACACAAGGAGAAUAAUAGAUGGGGUUUAUUAAAGCAAGCAAAGUCUGCGUUUUACCUGGUGCGCAUGAGUGGGGUCUUUUAAGAGCUUUGGUGGCUCUCCCGUUUUUCCUAUUAUCCAUGGAUUUACCCUGAGCCUUCCUAUCACAUUAUAAAUAACAGUUCAUCUAAAGAGCCACUUUUCUUUCAAUAUCAGUAACAUUUGCCUACGUAAGUUUUCAUUUAUUUGUGUUUUAUUUAUUACAGGGCUGCUAUUUUCAUAAUGUACAUGAACAAUGUCACAGAACUUUUUUAAUUUUUUUGAAUUAUUAUAAGUAUCAGUAAAGGAUUUGAAAGACAGGAUUGCAUUUAAUAGAUAAAACGUUUAGGCAAUAAUUGAACAAAAGAAUCCUGGCAUAUUUCUAACACUAAUGGCAAUUUACCUUCGGUAUUUAUUUUCAGUAGUACAGACCCAGCUUGAAUGUAAAUUUUGUAUAGUGUAAGUAUGAAGAACAUAGUGCAACUGUACAGGUAGUCACCAGUUAUUGUGAUAUAAUAAAUAAUUGGGCUAUUUUGAUGAAGAAAACUUUGUUCAUUUGUUUCUACUUUCUAAUAGAGAAAUUGCCACGAUUCCUCUGCUUUUUGACAUUUCGUAUGACUUUUCUUUUUUCGGGUGGGAAUAAAAAGCUGUGAAAUUGUUCAACCUACUUUGUAACCAAAGAAGCAAAGCUGUGUAAUGGAGUUUUUUUUAUAAUGCACAUUCUUUAUGUAUUUUUAUUUAGUGUUUUCUCGGUCACAAUUUUCUUUGCUGUCUAGCAUGAUCUGCAUGACCUAUAAUCUUUGAACCACUUUCGUACCUCAUGUUUUUAUCCAGCACUCUUAUUGUAAUAUGUACUAGUCUGUGAACAAUGUCAAAUAAAAAAGAACGAACAGGUAGUAUGGUGGAGCUGAGCUAGUGUACUGUAUACACUAGUUGUAAAAAAAAAAAAAAUGAAGUGAGCCAUCUUUUGUUCAUUUAAAAUGGUGUUUUGAAUUUCGUAUGCAGAAAACGUUUUGUUACAUUGCAGAUUUUAAUGUAUUUAAUAAAUGCAACAUGCAGAUUAAGUGCAGUGUAUACUGAGUAUUUAAAUUAAAAUGUACAUUUCAUAAAUACAGUUUCAAGAGAAAGCAUCAUUUUGUGUAUACUAACACAUUAAGUGUAUGUCAGAAAUUGAUGUAUAAAUAUAUAUUUUAACACAUUUUCUGAAAUUAAACUGCAGUUUUGUUGAAAUAUUUGGCUCUAUAUGUGUUCAAAAUUUAAUUUGAUUAGAUUUGUAUUUUCACAGUUCAGGAUAUUCCUUAAAUGAAAACCUGUGUUAUUAAUGACUUAAUGAUAGUUCUUAAAUUUUCAAAGUAAAAUAAUUUAAAGAAUGCAAGAAUGGUGAGCAAUAUUUGUACUCAAGAUUCAUAUUAUGUCCGUGACAUUUAAGUAAAACCCUUGUCUACCAAAACUUUACUUGAAUUCAGAAAGGUGCCUGUAGAAAAUUAACAUGCUUUGUGUCUGUAGCCAGCUAGCUGAUCAGGAGUUAAUGAGAACCAAUAGUUUGCUCUCCAUGUUGUUAAAAGAGGAUAAAUAAGUGUUUAUCUAUUUAAAAUUAAAACUUCAUUAGAUUUAGCUACAAACUAAAUGCAUAAAAUUGGAGUGUAUGUGGCAUCACCAAAUAUUUUAUAUUCCAGUUGUGCUGGUAUAUUGAAUAUAAACAAUUUUAAUGUUAACGAAUAACAUUAGAAGUAACUAAGGAACUAAUGACAUAUCCUUGAAGAAGCAGUCCUAUAGAUGCGGAGUGAGAUUUUAAGUAGAGUCACCCACAGAUGAGUUAGAAAAUGAAACUUCCAUGUUGGAAUGUUAACCAGAAGGCUCACCGGGUAUGCCCCUCAAAUGCAAACAGUGUGAUAUUUAAUACAGGCAAAGAAAAACUAAUAUUAGGAAAGGUUGAGAUUUUUUUGUGAAAAUACAAAUUUUGGUUCUUGGGAUAGAAAAACACUUUAUAAAUACAAAGUAAUCACAAAGGAAAUGAUUGAUACAUUAAUUUUAAAUGGCAAUUAAAAGCAAUUAUUACUACUACAUUUUAAAAAAACCACCAGGACAGAAAAUAAGGGUAGUUCACAGAAGAAAUGGCAGUUUCUCAAGUUUCAGCCUCUAGUAACCUAAGAAAUGCAAAUUAAUAUUUAACAAAUUGUCAUUUGUCUUUUAAAUAGGACCUAAUGUAGAAAAGGCAAGCUUUCUUAUGUACUUCUAGAAAGUAGUUUGGCAAUAUGUAUCAAGAGCCUUAAAUAUUAAUAAACUUUUCAGUUUAAUACAAGAAGGUAACUCAUGGUGCAGUGUUCAAAAAAUACAAAAUUACAAUAGUGCUUGUCCUUUGCUCUCCCAUAUCCGCCCCCCCUUCCCUGUGGAUUCCCCUCCCCAAUAUCUACUCCUGUAAACAGCUGUGAAAGGAAGCCUUUACAUCCAAACCUACUCUCAUGAGGCAUGCCCCCACCCCAAAGUGAGGGACAGACUUAAAGGUGAGAAAGCUUAUUUUUCAUAAUCAGAUUCACUGUUUUGGGAACAAUAUCAGACAUUCCCCCAAGUGAUUAGUUUGUUUAGGAACGUAAGUAAAUUUAAGUUUGACCUCAGGAGAUUUAAGGUCUCUUUCUCCACAUAAUUGGAAUAUUUAUUGAGAUGCCAAUUUGGGGGCACAGUCUUACAGGAAUGCCAUCGGAAUGCCAUCUAUAAUUUUCUCAGUGUAAUGUCCACAGACCAAGGUGCCACAUAAGUUUUCUGUGGGUUUAUUUUAGCCAACCAGAAAAUCACAAGUGAAAAUUUCACAAGUGAAAAAUUUGUUUCUGAUAAUGGCAAUGUGUCUGCAAUACAAACCUAACUUUCCCCAAAGAAAAUUUAUUUUUGGUAGUGAAUGAUGUGAUUUUACAGCUUGCUAUGCCCCUCCCAAAAAAGGAUUAUGAGAUAUUAAGUAUAGUUACUUCAGCUGUAUGUUGAAAAUAACUGGAGAUUUCCAAUUCUGUUACAUUCUGAGUUAAGUAGAAGUAUUAAGACAGAAUGCUUUACCAUCAAGUCCCCAGAGAUGGGUAAUCAUAACUGCUUUUAUUCACAAAGAAUUGUCACAGGUCAGAGAUAGUGAUGUUUCUCCAAGUUCCAAACUCUAGUCACUCCUAGACCUUUUAAAAAGAGCGAGGGGAAGUCCUUAGAAUUAGAGUAACAAAAAUACCUGUUCUUCAUGGGAAUUUAUCUCUGUAGAACCAGAAAUAAAGUAUCAGUUGAUUUGGAGGGAAUACAUUUUUAAGUCACGAGUUUUUUGUUUUUUUUAAAGAGGCUCAGUGGCAGGCACUUUGUGACAUGACUCAGUUCUCUUUGAUAAUUUUGUUACGAGGACAAAGCCCAGCUCUAAAGAUUUCACAGUUGAGGUCAUACACAAACCAACAUGUACAAUGCAAUAAUAAAAACAGUCAAGGAUGGUUUUGUCAAGGAAGGUUCCCUAAAGAGGUGACACCUGAUAAGAAAAAAGUGCUCAAAAGCUUAGAGGAGGGCAUAAGCAAAGCUCUUUUGGAUAGUCACAGAGUUGUUUCCCAGGAGACAGACAUGCAGGCUGACUCAUCCACCUUAGUAGGUUGGCCUCGAGAGCAAAAAUAAUUUAUCGAAUGAUUUUAGGCAGUGGGAUUGUGAUCAGAUAAGCAUUUUAGAAAAAUUAAUCAUUCUAGUUAUCAAUGAUGGGCAGUAGAUUGGUGAGCUGAAACUGGAAGUGGAGAAGUAAUUUAGGAGAGACAAUAAUGCAGAAAUAAGCAAAAUUACAAAAUGAUAAAUAGGCAGAUUUGUGAUGCUCAUUAGGAAGUUUGUCUUGGAUCUUUCUAUAUUCCCAACGUCAGGUGCCUAUUUUUUCUGCUUCCAAAGAAAGAUCUGAGAACCCCAAGUCUUAACAAUGUUUUAGUCAAAACUUUUCCUUCCAAUAGCCAUAUACCUCUUUGAAAUGGAAGUCUGUGUAGAGGAAUUUCACGGAUUUAGCAAAAGGGUAAGGGGAAUGGAGGAGCCCUGGCUAUCACAUUUAUGCCUCUAUAAAUUCGGCCCUAUAGGUAAACCAAAUUUAGUCCUUUUAUGGUGACUAGGAUUAGAGUGGCCCAGAAGCGUGAGUCCAAAGCCUGUCUUUCAGGGCUAUCCCUCCCCAAAAAGAACAAUACGGGUUCUGGCCCCAUUGCAGAUACUGAAACCCAAGUCAAAAUAGGUUUUGCUCGCUUCAACUUUUCUUCAUUCUUUUGACACAGUUCAAUUCAGGAAGGCUUCUUUCUUCCCCGUAAGUCCGCUGCCUAAGCAAAACAACCUUUUCUCCCACCUCCUCCUGCCUCAAACCUAGUACUACUCAUGUUUCUAUUUUCUAGCAAUACUAAUGAUUUAUUGUUUAGUGACGGAUAUUUGCUCCCUAUUUUCCCCUUUUCAGCAUUCUAGGAUGCGUCCCUGUUACAUGUAUUUCUAUGCCAAGUCGCAGAAUUUCUAUAGCAAGAUCUGUCCUUUGAAUGUAUGUAUUCCUUUGUCAGUGGAGAAUAUUACUGUCCAAGUGCUAUUUAAUGAUUUCCUUAGUGGGCUACAAUUGGUAUAACGUGCUAUGUUCACAGGUGAAAAUUGCUAAGUGAGGCACUAUACAAAGCAAGUUAAGGUCAUAGACCUCUUUUUUUAAAAUAAUCAUCAUAAAAGUGAGACAGUCUUUCAGGAUUGGUAAUAGGAAAGUAUGAAGUUGGUAUUUUGCACUGACACAGUCUACUUGGUCAUAAAAUUUGUUAAACAUACUUAAUGAGUUAGCUUUAUUUUUUCUUCUUCUAACCAGGGAAACUGAAAGAUUAGGCAAUUUUGAGAAUUUUCCCAUGAUCUGAUGUCAUGGACUGAGCUAUAAAACAGAGCAUCUAAAUUUAUGGACUAACACUGACCACAGAAGCCAAAGUUAUCCCUUUAAAAGAGGGAAGGAAAAGGUGUGCUAACUUAGAUCAUAAAAAUAACUGAAUUUUAAAACAAGGCAAAUGCCACGCUUCUAUUUCCCCCCCAAAAAAAGUUUUUACCCUUUCAUCUUUCUCUAUAAUAACCGUAAAGUAUUCUUGCCCACUGCAAUCCAACUGUUUUCCAGAUCACAGUUCUUAUCAUCAUUUCACAGGCAAGCAGCGCAUCUAUAGGUAGAUCAUACCUGAGGACGUCAUGGACAGCAAGUGAAUAUUUUUCCCACACUUGGCAUGACAUAAUAUCAGGUCAGUGUCUUAUUCUAGUGUUUCUACUAAAAUAUAUAAUAUAUAAUUUGAUCAGGUGCCUGAUGGACAGAAAAAAAUAAAUAUGUGUAACUUUGUAAAUCCCCUCAAGGUUUUGUUUUUGAGAAGUUUGGGUUUUAUUUUUUAUUUUAUAGAAACGCUGUUGAAAUGCACUUCAAUUCUAUUUCAAUUCAGGUGCUGCACCCUGUACUAGAUGUUUGGGGAUAGAAAGAUAAGUGGAACACGAUUUGUGCGCUCCAGGAGCUAUCAUCCAAUGUAAAAGAAAACUAAAGUGCCAUUGUUUAUUCAAAGUAUAUGUCAUAGUUUGUGGACCUCAUAUAAUCUGUUGAAUGGAAGGUUCAUGUAAAUCGACAGUAAUAUUGCCAGGCCACAUGAAACCCUUUGACAUUGCCAGGAAACAACUUUAAAUCACCAAAAAGCUUUUACAUCAAACAAUACUUUUAGAAAGAGGGGACUUGGUGAAAAGCUUCCUAUCUCUACAUUGAGCCUGUGAGGUGUCCCCUAAAAGAGAGAAGUUUACACAUUUUUUUAAUACUUUAAGUUUGUAGAUAAUGGAACUGAUUUAAAUCAAACUUAACUAGAAUAGAAUUUGUGUGUCAUGAGUUAUAUUAUCUAUUGUCUCAUAAGCAACACACUCAUUAUCUUGGCUGACAAAAUCAGCUACCAUUCAAUGAACCAAGUUAAGAAUAACUCAGGUGCCUGAUGCCAAAAAUAAAUCUGAUAGAGCUGAGAAUCCAGAAACAAUUAUUAUUCAGUAAAGGAUAAAAGUAACAUUUCAAAUCAGUAAGGGAAGAAUGGACUAAUAAUAAAUAGUAUUGGGAUGACAUAACCAUUUGGGAAAAAUAAUUUAGAUCUCUAGCUCACAGAAAUUAAUUCCAGCUAGACAAGCAGUAAGUCUUACGCUUUUUGGUUACAUAUCCCUUAGAAACCUCCCUCUAAAAAUGCAGAUAAGCAAGAAGUUUUACAAGUUUAUGAAGUGAUGCCCAACCUCAGCAAAAUAAAGGAAAUGCACAUUAAAAAAUAAACUAUCUCAAAUCCAAUUGGCAAAUACUUAAAAUAUAUGUAAAUCACAAGCCUGCAAGGGUGUGGAAAAACAGGAAUCCUACGUUGCUAGUAAAUGUAUAAAUUGGCACAGCUACCUUUAAAGGCAGUCGAAUGAUAUCCGUUAAAAUUUAAAAUUCACAUGCCCUGUCACCCAACAUUUCCAGUUUUUAAUGAAACACACUUUUCAUACUUGUGUUCACAGGAUGGCCUUGUACAAUUGUACCUUUGUAAUAAAGUAAAAUUGGAAAAAACAAAAUACCCAUCAAGAGGAUGGAACAAUAUACAACACUGGGCAUCAAUGAAAAAGAAUAAGAUUCAUACACAUACUGACAUGGAAAGAUCUCGAAGAUACAAUAAGUUUUUUGAAAGUUUGGAGGAAAAUAAAGGCUAAUACAUGCAAUACAUAUGAUACCAUUGAUUUUAAGACGCAUAUAUACAUAUACACACACACAAAUAAAUACUGUAUAGUGUACUUCUUAAGUACCUAUUUGUAUAUUAUAAAAAUGUACAGAGAAGGUCUGGAAGAAUACUAACCAAACUGUUAACAGUAGUUUGGUGGAGUGCAUUAGCUUUAACUGUAAUAUUCGAUGUUUUUGAGUAUGCAUUCAUGUAUUGUUUGUGUAAUGACAAAUUAAUAAAUUAG
Zalophus californianus (California sea lion) is the source of this 10130-nucleotide RNA transcript. It is a transcript of the gene named TSC22 domain family member 2, with no coding region annotated. NCBI's taxonomy places the organism in Eukaryota, Metazoa, Chordata, Mammalia, Carnivora, Otariidae. The transcript has 4 exons. The record is from RefSeq and is a predicted model, not a curated record.